RNAcentral lists this non-coding RNA (71 nucleotides) under Absicoccus porci. RNAcentral describes it as "ZMP/ZTP riboswitch". It matches the Rfam family "ZMP/ZTP riboswitch aptamer (pfl RNA motif)", at positions 7 to 81 of the family's 86-position model. From Rfam's summary of the family: Previously known as pfl RNA. Lineage: Bacteria; Bacillati; Bacillota; Erysipelotrichia; Erysipelotrichales; Erysipelotrichaceae. The record is from RNAcentral.
UUAUACGACUGACGGAAUUGUGGAGCUUACCACGUGAAGUAUAAGAGAUUAUAGCCGACCGUCUGGGCAUU